RNAcentral lists this long non-coding RNA (217 nucleotides) under Lathyrus oleraceus (garden pea). RNAcentral's name for it is "Pisum sativum (pea) long non-coding RNA (PSAT_LNC018135)". Lineage: Eukaryota; Viridiplantae; Streptophyta; Magnoliopsida; Fabales; Fabaceae. The record is from RNAcentral.
UUUGUGAGACUAGUAUAAGUCCAGUGAUUGGCCUCUGGUAUCAUUGUUUUUGUUUUAGGAGAUUGGUAUAAGUCCAGUGAUUGGCAUCCGGUAUCCAUCUUUGUUAGCUUUGUCUGAUACAUUGUUCAUUUGCUUAUUGCAUUGUUGCCUAUUCCAAAGGAAUCACUUGAAUCAUCUUCCAUAUGAUUUCAAGAGGUGAACAUCUAAGAAGUUUUAC